Molecule: ribosomal RNA, 218 nt
Filed under: uncultured Variovorax sp.
Lineage: Bacteria; Pseudomonadati; Pseudomonadota; Betaproteobacteria; Burkholderiales; Comamonadaceae
Description: partial 16S ribosomal RNA
Rfam family: Bacterial small subunit ribosomal RNA
Source: RNAcentral
GGGGGAGUAACGCAGCGAAAGACUGCGCUAAUACCGCAUACGAUCUACGGAUGAAAGCAGGGGAUCGCAAGACCUUGCGCGAAUGGAGCGGCCGAUGGCAGAUUAGGUAGUUGGUGAGGUAAAGGCUCACCAAGCCUUCGAUCUGUAGCUGGUCUGAGAGGACGACCAGCCACACUGGGACUGAGACACGGCCCAGACUCCUACGGGAGGCAGCAGGG